UUUAAUUGUAAAAUUUUUUUGUUUUUAUUUUUAUAUGUUGUUUUUAUUUUUUUUGUUAUAUUUAUUAAAUUAGGUAGUAAUAGUUAUGAUCUUGAAACUUUAAGAAUUUGACGGUAAUUCAUUCAAUUUAGAGGAACUUGUUUUUUAAUUGAUAAUCCACGAUAUAAAUUACCUAUUUUAUUUGUUUGUAUACCGUCGUUUUAAAAAAAUUUUUUAAGGAUAAAUAAUUUUUAAAAUAUAAUUUAUUUUUAUAUAAAUUCAGAUCAAGGUGCAGCUAUUUAUUUAGGUUAAAAUGAGUUACAAUAAUUUUAAUUUAUACGGAUUUUAAGUAUUAAUAUUUAAAUUAAGGUGGAUUUAAAAGUAAAAUUAAAUAAUUAUUUAAUUUGAGAUUUGUUUUGAAUUAUGU
RNAcentral lists this ribosomal RNA (406 nucleotides) under Cephus pygmeus. RNAcentral's name for it is "partial 12S ribosomal RNA". The record is from RNAcentral. Lineage: Eukaryota; Metazoa; Arthropoda; Insecta; Hymenoptera; Cephidae.